GGUUAAGCGACUAAGCGUACACGGUGGAUGCCCUGGCAGUCAGAGGCGAUGAAGGACGUGCUAAUCUGCGAUAAGCGUCGGUAAGGUGAUAUGAACCGUUAUAACCGGCGAUUUCCGAAUGGGGAAACCCAGUGUGUUUCGACACACUAUCAUUAACUGAAUCCAUAGGUUAAUGAGGCGAACCGGGGGAACUGAAACAUCUAAGUACCCCGAGGAAAAGAAAUCAACCGAGAUUCCCCCAGUAGCGGCGAGCGAACGGGGAGGAGCCCAGAGCCUGAAUCAGUGUGUGUGUUAGUGGAAGCGUCUGGAAAGGCGCGCGAUACAGGGUGACAGCCCCGUACACAAAAAUGCACAUGCUGUGAGCUCGAUGAGUAGGGCGGGACACGUGGUAUCCUGUCUGAAUAUGGGGGGACCAUCCUCCAAGGCUAAAUACUCCUGACUGACCGAUAGUGAACCAGUACCGUGAGGGAAAGGCGAAAAGAACCCCGGCGAGGGGAGUGAAAAAGAACCUGAAACCGUGUACGUACAAGCAGUGGGAGCACAGAGCAAUCUGUGUGACUGCGUACCUUUUGUAUAAUGGGUCAGCGACUUAUAUUCUGUAGCAAGGUUAACCGAAUAGGGGAGCCGAAGGGAAACCGAGUCUUAACUGGGCGUUAAGUUGCAGGGUAUAGACCCGAAACCCGGUGAUCUAGCCAUGGGCAGGUUGAAGGUUGGGUAACACUAACUGGAGGACCGAACCGACUAAUGUUGAAAAAUUAGCGGAUGACUUGUGGCUGGGGGUGAAAGGCCAAUCAAACCGGGAGAUAGCUGGCUCUCCCCGAAAGCUAUUUAGGUAGCGCCUCGUGAAUUCAUCUCCGGGGUAGAGCACUGUUUCGGCAAGGGGGUCAUCCCGACUUACCAACCCGAUGCAAACUACGAAUACCGGAGAAUGUUAUCACGGGAGACACACGGCGGGUGCUAACGUCCGUCGUGAAGAGGGAAACAACCCAGACCGCCAGCUAAGGUCCCAAAGUCAUGGUUAAGUGGGAAACGAUGUGGGAAGGCCCAGACAGCCAGGAUGUUGGCUUAGAAGCAGCCAUCAUUUAAAGAAAGCGUAAUAGCUCACUGGUCGAGUCGGCCUGCGCGGAAGAUGUAACGGGGCUAAACCAUGCACCGAAGCUGCGGCAGCGACGCUUAUGCGUUGUUGGGUAGGGGAGCGUUCUGUAAGCCUGUGAAGGUGUGCUGUGAGGCAUGCUGGAGGUAUCAGAAGUGCGAAUGCUGACAUAAGUAACGAUAAAGCGGGUGAAAAGCCCGCUCGCCGGAAGACCAAGGCUCCUGUCCAACGUUAAUCGGGGCAGGGUGAGUCGACCCCUAAGGCGAGGCCGAAAGGCGUAGUCGAUGGGAAACAGGUUAAUAUUCCUGUACUUGGUGUUACUGCGAAGGGGGGACGGAGAAGGCUAUGUUGGCCGGGCGACGGUUGUCCCGGUUUAAGCGUGUAGGCUGGUUUUCCAGGCAAAUCCGGAAAAUCAAGGCUGAGGCGUGAUGACGAGGCACUACGGUGCUGAAGCAACAAAUGCCCUGCUUCCAGGAAAAGCCUCUAAGCAUCAGGUAACAUCAAAUCGUACCCCAAACCGACACAGGUGGUCAGGUAGAGAAUACCAAGGCGCUUGAGAGAACUCGGGUGAAGGAACUAGGCAAAAUGGUGCCGUAACUUCGGGAGAAGGCACGCUGAUAUGUAGGUGAGGUCCUCGCGGAUGGAGCUGAAAUCAGUCGAAGAUACCAGCUGGCUGCAACUGUUUAUUAAAAACACAGCACUGUGCAAACACGAAAGUGGACGUAUACGGUGUGACGCCUGCCCGGUGCCGGAAGGUUAAUUGAUGGGGUUAGCGGUAACGCGAAGCUCUUGAUCGAAGCCCCGGUAAACGGCGGCCGUAACUAUAACGGUCCUAAGGUAGCGAAAUUCCUUGUCGGGUAAGUUCCGACCUGCACGAAUGGCGUAAUGAUGGCCAGGCUGUCUCCACCCGAGACUCAGUGAAAUUGAACUCGCUGUGAAGAUGCAGUGUACCCGCGGCAAGACGGAAAGACCCCGUGAACCUUUACUAUAGCUUGACACUGAACAUUGAGCCUUGAUGUGUAGGAUAGGUGGGAGGCUUAGAAGUGUGGACGCCAGUCUGCAUGGAGCCGGCCUUGAAAUACCACCCUUUAAUGUUUGAUGUUCUAACGUUGGCCCCUGAUCGGGGUUGCGGACAGUGUCUGGUGGGUAGUUUGACUGGGGCGGUCUCCUCCUAAAGAGUAACGGAGGAGCACGAAGGUUGGCUAAUCCUGGUCGGACAUCAGGAGGUUAGUGCAAUGGCAUAAGCCAGCUUGACUGCGAGCGUGACGGCGCGAGCAGGUGCGAAAGCAGGUCAUAGUGAUCCGGUGGUUCUGAAUGGAAGGGCCAUCGCUCAACGGAUAAAAGGUACUCCGGGGAUAACAGGCUGAUACCGCCCAAGAGUUCAUAUCGACGGCGGUGUUUGGCACCUCGAUGUCGGCUCAUCACAUCCUGGGGCUGAAGUAGGUCCCAAGGGUAUGGCUGUUCGCCAUUUAAAGUGGUACGCGAGCUGGGUUUAGAACGUCGUGAGACAGUUCGGUCCCUAUCUCGCCGUGGGCGCUGGAGAACUGAGGGGGGCUGCUCCUAGUACGAGAGGACCGGAGUGGACGCAUCACUGGUGUUCGGGUUGUCAUGCCAAUGGCACUGCCCGGUAGCUAAAUGCGGAAGAGAUAAGUGCUGAAAGCAUCUAAGCACGAAACUUGCCCCGAGAUGAGUUCUCCCUGACUCCUUGAGAGUCCUGAAGGAACGUUGAAGACGACGACGUUGAUAGGCCGGGUGUGUAAGCGCAGCGAUGCGUUGAGCUAACCGGUACUAAUGAACCGUGAGGCUUAACCUU
Molecule: ribosomal RNA, 2906 nt
Filed under: Escherichia coli
Lineage: Bacteria; Pseudomonadati; Pseudomonadota; Gammaproteobacteria; Enterobacterales; Enterobacteriaceae
Description: 23S ribosomal RNA
Rfam family: Bacterial large subunit ribosomal RNA
Source: RNAcentral